GACCUUAUCCACAAGGCGCAGCCCAGACCACCGUCCGCCAUCUACAAUCACCACAGCCACCGUCGCACCACCAUCGACGGCCACCACAGGCUCAGCGAUGACACGAUAGAACGCACACACCGAAGCUCACGAAGAAACUAUCUCUCUUCGGAAUUCUAGAGGAUCCUUCAUCGGUUCUCCUUUUCCAUUGUCCUUUAGACACGGUCGAAACGCCGCUGUAGCGGCUCCACCAUUGCCGGUUCCGUUGCCGCAAGGCCUCCUCUCCUUCUGCUCUGUUUUCUGGUCACGCCGCCCAAACGUGCACGAGCCAGAGGUCAAUCGUCGACGUGGAGAGCUCCAGUAACUUUUCUCCGAUCUGAUCACGGACCGAAGUGAAAAACUCACUCUCAUCAAGGAGCAGGAGAUCUGCGUGUGUGCGUGCAAAGAAUGGACUGUCAGAAUCGCCAUUGAUCUUUGCAUUUAUACAAUCUGUGCAAGAAUCGCCAUUGCCCCAAACUUGGAAUGGAUUUUAAUCCUUUGGUGAUGACCUUUUCUGAUGCUGCGGUUUUCAUUUCUUAUCUCAAACUUGGACGACAUUUGUUUUGUCGUGCAGAAUGGACUUGCAGACUUGCUGAUAGAGCGGGCCCCAUAGUGCCACUUGUCGUCCACUGAAUGGACAAAUGUAUUGAUUACGUGGCUAUCAUUAGUUUAUUGAAACAUUUUCUUGCGAA
Molecule: long non-coding RNA, 710 nt
Organism: Eucalyptus grandis
Lineage: Eukaryota; Viridiplantae; Streptophyta; Magnoliopsida; Myrtales; Myrtaceae
Exons: 2
Source: RefSeq, a predicted model, not a curated record